Molecule: microRNA precursor, 123 nt
Filed under: Pelodiscus sinensis (Chinese soft-shelled turtle)
Lineage: Eukaryota; Metazoa; Chordata; Testudines; Trionychidae
Description: miRNA (ENSPSIG00000020270.1)
Source: RNAcentral
GGUCUUUCAGUCUGGUUGUAGGGAUACAGUGAUCAGGUUACGAGGGAUUUCUCAAGUAACAACCUCGAAGCUCGAUCACGAUAUCCCUAUGACUUAGGUAACAACAGGUUUAACCCAUUUUCU